AGAGAUGCACUGGGUAUAAAGCGUGCGCAGGCGGUUUUGUAAGACAGAGGUGAAAUCCCCGGGCUCAACCUGGGAACUGCCUUUGUGACUGCAAGGCUGGAGCGCGGCAGAGGGGGAUGGAAUUCCGCGUGUAGCAGUGAAAUGCGUAGAUAUGCGGAGGAACACCGAUGGCGAAGGCAAUCCCCUGGGCCUGCACUGACGCUCAUGCACGAAAGCGUGGGGAGCAAACA
This 230-nucleotide ribosomal RNA is filed under the name uncultured Alicycliphilus sp. RNAcentral describes it as "partial 16S ribosomal RNA". It matches the Rfam family "Bacterial small subunit ribosomal RNA", at positions 548 to 774 of the family's 1533-position model. Lineage: Bacteria; Pseudomonadati; Pseudomonadota; Betaproteobacteria; Burkholderiales; Comamonadaceae. The record is from RNAcentral.